Molecule: ribosomal RNA, 497 nt
Filed under: uncultured bacterium
Lineage: Bacteria
Description: partial 16S ribosomal RNA
Rfam family: Bacterial small subunit ribosomal RNA
Source: RNAcentral
GAUGAACGCUGGCGGCGUGCCUAAUACAUGCAAGUCGAGCGAACGGACGAGAAGCUUGCUUCUCUGAUGUUAGCGGCGGACGGGUGAGUAACACGUGGAUAACCUACCUAUAAGACUGGGAUAACUUCGGGAAACCGUAGCUAAUACCGGAUAAUAUUUUGAACCGCAUGGUUCAAAAGUGAAAGACGGUCUUGCUGUCACUUAUAGAUGGAUCCGCGCUGCAUUAGCUAGUUGGUAAGGUAACGGCUUACCAAGGCAACGAGGCAUAGCCGACCUGAGAGGGUGAUCGGCCACACUGGAACUGAGACACGGUCCAGACUCCUACGGGAGGCAGCAGUAGGGAAUCUUCCGCAAUGGGCGAAAGCCUGACGGAGCAACGCCGCGUGAGUGAUGAAGGUCUUCGGAUCGUAAAACUCUGUUAUUAGGGAAGAACAUAUGUGUAAGUAACUGUGCACAUCUUGACGGUACCUAAUCAGAAAGCCACGGCUAACUACGUG